CUAUGCCCCUGGCAUGGCCUAUGAGGGCUUGGGACUGCAAGGUCUGUUAGUGAGUGUGCUGGUGAGUUUAGUUCAUCUGGAAACAGCAGAAGAACAGACUCGUGUGCAGCGCUGUGUGUUUCCUGUGAGAGAGUUAUUGGUGUGUCUGCCUGAUG
Molecule: long non-coding RNA, 155 nt
Organism: Sinocyclocheilus anshuiensis
Lineage: Eukaryota; Metazoa; Chordata; Actinopteri; Cypriniformes; Cyprinidae
Exons: 3
Source: RefSeq, a predicted model, not a curated record